This 200-nucleotide ribosomal RNA is filed under the name uncultured bacterium. Its description in RNAcentral is "partial 16S ribosomal RNA". It matches the Rfam family "Bacterial small subunit ribosomal RNA", at positions 8 to 221 of the family's 1533-position model. The record is from RNAcentral.
AGAGUUUGAUCAUGGCUCAGAACGAACGCUGGCGGCGUGCCUAACACAUGCAAGUCGAACGAGAUCUUCGGAUCGAGUGGCGGACGGGUGAGUAAGACAUAGGCAACCUGCCCAUCAAUGGGGGAUACCCAGCCGAAAGGUUGGCUAAUACCGCAUACGCUCAUCAUCUGGGAUGGUGGUGAGGAAAGAUUUAUCGUUGA